Molecule: long non-coding RNA, 841 nt
Organism: Mauremys reevesii (Reeves's turtle)
Lineage: Eukaryota; Metazoa; Chordata; Testudines; Geoemydidae
Exons: 3
Source: RefSeq, a predicted model, not a curated record
GGAGUCCCUGUUUACACACAGCUUCCAGGCAGCAGGUGGGCAUUUUGCCUGAGUGAAGACUCCAAGGAUGAGGAUUUGUCUCCUUUCUGCAGACAUACCAGCCAAUGAAUGCAAUGACAGAGAUAGUCACAGACGCCGCAAACUUUAAACAACUAUUAAAUUCUGAAUGAGUAAACGAACAGGAAAACUACAGACGAACGGCCUGCUAGCGAGGAGGACGCUGAAUGGACCCCCAGCAAAUCCUGUCCUGUUCAGACAACAGCUCCUGGGUGCAAACAGCAGUGCCCUGGCACCAAACUAUGGUGCUCCCUGUACAUACAUAAUGUAUGGGACACACGGCUCUUUCCAAGCCAGACUACUUCGUUUUUAGGGUGAAAAACAUUGCAGAGAAACCGCGUUAAACCCAAGCAAAGAACCGACAAAAGCUUGCCAGAGAUCACCCCCUUGGGCUCUGGCUGGAGCAGUCCUUCACUCCCCACCUCCAGGGUUUCCUUGUGGUUUCAAGUUCAUCACAGCUUCAGCUCAGAACAAGCUCCCAGUCAUAUGGGGCUUCAAUAGGCCCCAUCCUUCCAACCCGGGGUCCGGUCUGUGGGCUGGAUCAGGAAGAAGCCCCGAGGCAGUUUAAAAACCAGGAUUUUUGGAUAAACAGCCUUUCUUUGUCGGCUGGUGCCUGGAGAAUCCCGUCUGAACCAGGAUAUGUGGAUCUCUCCGGGCGGAGUGUUUCUCUGGAGGUGUCGCAACCUGUGUGAAUUUGCCUAAUCACGCCCUGCUGUUCUCCUGUUUACCUUUCUAGAGAUAUAUACAAUCCCUCAACAACACAUAGACCAGUGUAUUGUUAAUA